UACGGGGGGGGCAAGCGUUGUUCGGAAUUACUGGGCGUAAAGGGCUCGUAGGCGGCCAACUAAGUCACACGUGAAAUCCCUCGGCUCAACCGGGGAACUGCGUGUGAGACUGGAUGGCUUGAGUUUGGGAGAGGAAUGCGGAAUUCCAGGUGUAGCGGUGAAAUGCGUAGAUAUCGGGAGGAACAUCAGUGGCGAAGGCGGCCUUCUGGUCCAGUACUGACACUCAAGUGCGAAAGCGUGGGGAGCAAACAGG
Molecule: ribosomal RNA, 253 nt
Filed under: uncultured bacterium
Lineage: Bacteria
Description: partial 16S ribosomal RNA
Rfam family: Bacterial small subunit ribosomal RNA
Source: RNAcentral